This 434-nucleotide ribosomal RNA is filed under the name uncultured Lachnospiraceae bacterium. Its description in RNAcentral is "partial 16S ribosomal RNA". It matches the Rfam family "Bacterial small subunit ribosomal RNA", at positions 341 to 792 of the family's 1533-position model. The record is from RNAcentral. Lineage: Bacteria; Bacillati; Bacillota; Clostridia; Lachnospirales; Lachnospiraceae.
ACGGGAGGCAUCAGUGGGGAAUAUUGGACAAUGGGGGAAACCCUGAUCCAGCGACGCCGCGUGAGUGAAGAAGUAUUUCGGUAUGUAAAGCUCUAUCAGCAAGGAAGAAAAUGACGGUACUUGACUAAGAAGCCCCGGCUAACUACGUGCCAGCAGCCGCGGUAAUACGUAGGGGGCAAGCGUUAUCCGGAUUUACUGGGUGUAAAGGGAGCGUAGACGGUAUGGCAAGUCUGAAGUGAAAUGCAUGGGCUCAACCCAUGAACUGCUUUGGAAACUGUCAAACUAGAGUGCAGGAGAGGUAAGUGGAAUUCCUAGUGUAGCGGUGAAAUGCGUAGAUAUUAGGAGGAACACCAGUGGCGAAGGCGGCUUACUGGACGACAACUGACGCUGAGGCUCGAAGGCGUGGGGAGCAAACAGGAUUAGAUACCCUGGUA